Long non-coding RNA from Phalaenopsis equestris, 578 nucleotides. RefSeq lists it as uncharacterized. The transcript is spliced from 3 exons. The record is from RefSeq and is a predicted model, not a curated record. NCBI's taxonomy places the organism in Eukaryota, Viridiplantae, Streptophyta, Magnoliopsida, Asparagales, Orchidaceae.
AUAAAUUUUAUUCUUAAAAAUGUAAAUACAUAAGAAUUGGUUGGUAUUUAUGUAUAUGCCCCAUUUUUAUUCAGGUUUGAACUUACUUCUUGCAGUAAGUCUGCAACUCCUUCUCAGGGCACUUGAAACUCAUUAGUUCAAAGAACUCCAAAACAUGCUCCCUUGGGUCCUGAUACUCAAUUUUCCGCUCAGACAAGUAUAAUAUCGUUAAAGAGUUUUAGUUGCUGGCUGGAGGAGUGCAAUCACUGCUGUCCCUCUAAGAAUGUGAACUGAUUGCCUGAGGGAAUUCAAUAUCUGGUAUGUGGUGAAGCUAUCAAGACCAGUUGAAAUUUCUUCCAUGAAAAAGCGCUUUUGAAGGGCCAACCAAGAUUUUGAUUACAAUGGCUUAGAGCGAGUCACAAUCAUCAAGUGGGAGAGAGGGAAUCUACUGUGAUAAAUUCUAGAUACAAGUCAUCUGAUGUAAAGUGUUAUCUAGUCAAGCAGAGAACCUGUCGGCAAGACACAUUCAAAGCGAAUCUUGCAGAGAAACUAGAACCUUCUCAGUGGAUUACCUCAUUUUUAUUGGCAGAAGGGUUUUU